Long non-coding RNA from Pipistrellus kuhlii (Kuhl's pipistrelle), 666 nucleotides. RefSeq lists it as uncharacterized. The record is from RefSeq and is a predicted model, not a curated record. The transcript is spliced from 2 exons. NCBI's taxonomy places the organism in Eukaryota, Metazoa, Chordata, Mammalia, Chiroptera, Vespertilionidae.
AUGGGCCACGAAGUUUCAGUCGCACUGUACGUGCGCGCCUGCACAUAGUAUUUUGUGGAAGAGUCACACUCAAGGGGCCAAAGACCCGCAUGUGGCUUGUGAGUUUGCCAAUCACUAAGCUAGGGCAUUAACUAGCCUAAUUUUAGGUAGAAAGAAAAAAACAACUCUUUGCUUUAGUGGUAAUAUGGACAAGCUGAACCUUCUUAAUGCUUUAUUAAAAUUACCAGCCAACUUAACAUAUUGCAGACGGAUCAUGAGAAUUUUCAUUUUUUUUGUUCUAAGGUUUGUGGCCAAUUACAAGACUUCUUUUAAAAGUGAUUAGCUUGUAAGAACAUGUAAUAAACAACUUCGAGAUGCAAUGGGUAUUUAAUUUUAAAGUGUACCUUUAACAUUUAUGUAAAAUGUUUUUUUGUACUCGUUCAGUAGAACCUUAUCUGGCCACUGGGUAAAGCUAGCAAUAAAACUACUGUGUUAAGAAUGUGAUUAUGAUGUGUUGUUCAAUUUUAUAUUUGUUGCAGUUAAAAAUGGAACCAUUUAGGUUUUAGGGGGAAAAACUCAAUAUAAACUAAAAAAAAAAAUUAUUCCAAAUGACUGACUGGUGCCCAUAUAGAUAAGCUUAAAAAUGAGUACAUGCUUGGUUUCAAAAAUAAAUUGAUGUCUAAAUCA